Molecule: small nuclear RNA, 110 nt
Filed under: Erinaceus europaeus (western European hedgehog)
Lineage: Eukaryota; Metazoa; Chordata; Mammalia; Eulipotyphla; Erinaceidae
Source: RNAcentral
GUGCUUGCUAUCGAUGUCCCAUAUACUAAAGUUGGAACAAUACUGAAAAGAUUAGCAUGGCCUUUGCAAAAUAUGUGGGCACUAGACAAGAAUAGUAGAACCACUCAUGG